UACGGAGGAUCCGAGCGUUAUCCGGAUUUAUUGGGUUUAAAGGGAGCGUAGAUGGAUAUUUAAGUCAGUUGUGAAAGUUUGCGGCUCAACCGUAAAAUUGCAGUUGAUACUGGAUAUCUUGAGUGCAGUUGAGGCAGGCGGAAUUCGUGGUGUAGCGGUGAAAUGCUUAGAUAUCACGAAGAACUCCGAUUGCGAAGGCAGCCUGCUAAGCUGCAACUGACAUUGAGGCUCGAAAGUGUGGGUAUCAAACAGG
This 253-nucleotide ribosomal RNA is filed under the name Phocaeicola vulgatus ATCC 8482. RNAcentral's name for it is "partial 16S ribosomal RNA". It matches the Rfam family "Bacterial small subunit ribosomal RNA", at positions 524 to 776 of the family's 1533-position model. The record is from RNAcentral. Lineage: Bacteria; Pseudomonadati; Bacteroidota; Bacteroidia; Bacteroidales; Bacteroidaceae.